AUUGGUCGCAGGUUCGGGACUCACGCAGUGAGACAACGGAGCCGCUUGCGGCGACGGCCCGAAGGGCGAGCGAAGCGAGUCAUCCUGCACGACCCACCA
RNAcentral lists this small RNA (99 nucleotides) under Salmonella enterica subsp. enterica serovar Infantis. Its description in RNAcentral is "partial RtT sRNA". It matches the Rfam family "RtT RNA", at positions 31 to 130 of the family's 130-position model. Rfam says of the family: This family represents a bacterial cis-regulatory element known as RtT RNA. The exact function of RtT is unknown although it is thought that it may be involved in changing the cellular response in relation to amino acid starvation. The record is from RNAcentral. Lineage: Bacteria; Pseudomonadati; Pseudomonadota; Gammaproteobacteria; Enterobacterales; Enterobacteriaceae.